Molecule: non-coding RNA, 396 nt
Organism: Terrabacter sp. 28
Lineage: Bacteria; Bacillati; Actinomycetota; Actinomycetes; Micrococcales; Intrasporangiaceae
Source: Rfam
UGAGUCGGCCAGGCGGUCGCGUCAGGGCUUCGGCCCUGCCGAGGAACGUCCGGGCUCCACAGGGCAGGGUGGUGGCCAACAGCCACCCGGGGUGACCCGCGGGACAGUGCCACAGAGAACAGACCGCCGGCCGCUUCGGCAGCCGGUAAGGGUGAAACGGUGGUGUAAGAGACCACCAGCGCUCCAGGUGACUGGAGCGGCUCGGUAAACCCCACCCGGAGCAAGUCCAGACAGCGUACGCACGGUGCCCUCGGGCGCCGAGGAGGCCGGCCCGGUCGAGUGCGCGGGUAGGACGCUAGAGCCGGCCAGCAAUGGCCGGCCCAGAUGGAUGGCCGUCGCUGCGUCCCUGGUAACGGAGGCGCGGAACAGAACCCGGCGUAUCGGCCGACUCAUCCA